RNAcentral lists this ribosomal RNA (432 nucleotides) under uncultured bacterium. RNAcentral describes it as "bacterial SSU rRNA". It matches the Rfam family "Bacterial small subunit ribosomal RNA", at positions 338 to 762 of the family's 1533-position model. The record is from RNAcentral.
CCUACGGGGGGCAGCAGUGGGGAAUAUUGCGCAAUGGGCGAAAGCCUGACGCAGCGACGCCGCGUGAGGGAUGAAGGUUUUCGGAUCGUAAACCUCUGUCAGAAGGGAAGAAAGUGCGUGGUGCUAAUCAGCCGCGUAUUGACGGUACCUUCAAAGGAAGCACCGGCUAACUCCGUGCCAGCAGCCGCGGUAAUACGGAGGGUGCGAGCGUUAAUCGGAAUUACUGGGCGUAAAGCGCACGUAGGCUGUUGUGUAAGUCAGGGGUGAAAUCCCACGGCUCAACCGUGGAACUGCCCUUGAUACUGCAUGACUGGAAUCCGGGAGAGGGUGGCGGAAUUCCAGGUGUAGGAGUGAAAUCCGUAGAUAUCUGGAGGAACAUCAGUGGCGAAGGCGGCCACCUGGACCGGUAUUGACGCUGAGGUGCGAAAGCGU